UAGUCCACGCUGUAAACGAUGAUCACUAGACGUUAGUUUGGUUUAUCCGAAUUAGUGUCGAAGCUAACGCAUUAAGUGAUUCGCCUGGGGACUACGGUCGCAAGACUAAAACUCAAAGGAAUUGACGGGGGUCCGCACAAGCGGUGGAACAUGUGGUUUAAUUCGUCACUACGCGAGGAACCUUACCUAGACUUGACAUGUAUUUGACCCUCACAGAGAUGUGAGCUUCUAGGCUUCGGUUUAGACUUUUACACAGGUGCUGCAUGGCUGUCGUCAGCUCGUGUCGUGAGAUGUUGGGUUAAGUCCUUUAACGAGCGCAACCCUUGCUGUCAGUUGCAAAUGCCUUCGGGUAAUGCACUCUGGCGGGACUGCCUGGGAAACCAGGAGGAAGGUGGGGACGACGUCAAGUCAUCAUGGUCCUUAUGUCUAGGGCUACACACGUGUUACAAUGGCAAGUACAAAGGGCUGCGAGAUCGCGAGGUGGAGCAAAUCCCAUAAAGCUUGUCU
RNAcentral lists this ribosomal RNA (507 nucleotides) under uncultured bacterium. RNAcentral describes it as "bacterial SSU rRNA". It matches the Rfam family "Bacterial small subunit ribosomal RNA", at positions 791 to 1288 of the family's 1533-position model. The record is from RNAcentral.